This 301-nucleotide ribosomal RNA is filed under the name uncultured bacterium. RNAcentral's name for it is "partial 16S ribosomal RNA". It matches the Rfam family "Bacterial small subunit ribosomal RNA", at positions 509 to 807 of the family's 1533-position model. The record is from RNAcentral.
CAGCAGCCGCGGGAAUACGUAGGGUGCGAGCGUUAAUCGGAAUUACUGGGCGUAAAGCGUGCGCAGGCGGUUCGUUAAGACAGAUGUGAAAUCCCCGGGCUUAACCUGGGAACUGCAUUUGUGACUGGCGAGCUAGAGUAUGGCAGAGGGGGGUAGAAUUCCACGUGUAACAGUGAAAUGCGUAGAGAUGUGGAGGAAUACCGAUGGCGAAGGCAGCCCCCUGGGCCAAUACUGACGCUCAUGCACGAAAGCGUGGGGAGCAAACAGGAUUAGAUACCCGGGUAGUCCCUGUCUCUUAUAC